RNAcentral lists this unclassified non-coding RNA (259 nucleotides) under uncultured fungus. RNAcentral's name for it is "partial contains 5.8S rRNA and ITS2". The stretch from base 1 to 52 matches the Rfam family "5.8S ribosomal RNA", at positions 103 to 154 of the family's 154-position model. Lineage: Eukaryota; Fungi. The record is from RNAcentral.
AACGCACAUUGCGCCCGCCAGUAUUCUGGCGGGCAUGCCUGUCCGAGCGUCAUUUCAACCCUCAGGCCCUGGUUGCCUGGUGUUGGGGCGCCGCGCACCCUCCGCGGGCGCGGGCCCCGAAAGUCAGUGGCGGGCUCGCCAGGACUCCGAGCGCAGUAAUUUUCUCUCGCUGUGGAGCGCCUGGUGGGUUACCAGCCGUAAAACACCCCAAAUUCUAAAGGUUGACCUCGGAUCAGGUAGGAAUACCCGCUGAACUUAA